This 505-nucleotide ribosomal RNA is filed under the name uncultured bacterium. Its description in RNAcentral is "bacterial SSU rRNA". It matches the Rfam family "Bacterial small subunit ribosomal RNA", at positions 28 to 530 of the family's 1533-position model. The record is from RNAcentral.
GAUGAACGCUAGCUGGAGGCUUAAUACAUGCAAGUCGAGCGGGAUUGGCGCAGCAAUGCGCCAUGAGAGCGGCGCACGGGUGAGUAACGCGUACACGACCUACCUCUAACAGGGGGAUAGCCCUGGGAAACCGGGAUUAAUACCGCAUAUUAUUCUAAUUUAUAAGUGAGUUGGAAUGAAAGCUGAGGCGGUUAGAGAUGGGUGUGCGUCUGAUUAGCUAGUCGGUAGGGUAACGGCCUACCAAGGCGAUGAUCAGUAGGGGGCGUGAGAGCGUGGACCCCCACACGGGUACUAAGACACGGACCCGACUCCUACGGGAGGCAGCAGUAAGGAAUAUUGGACAAUGGCCGCAAGGCUGAUCCAGCCAUCCAGCGUGCAGGAAGAAGGCCCUAUGGGUUGUAAACUGCCUUUGUCAGGGAAUAAACCCUCGUAUUUAUACGGGGCUGAAGGUACCUGAAGAAUAAGCACCGGCUAACUCCGUGCCAGCAGCCGCGGUAAUACGGGA